This 86-nucleotide transfer RNA is filed under the name candidate division WWE3 bacterium RIFOXYA1_FULL_40_11. RNAcentral describes it as "tRNA-Leu". It matches the Rfam family "tRNA". Rfam says of the family: Transfer RNA (tRNA) molecules are approximately 80 nucleotides in length. Their secondary structure includes four short double-helical elements and three loops (D, anti-codon, and T loops). Further hydrogen bonds mediate the characteristic L-shaped molecular structure. tRNAs have two regions of fundamental functional importance: the anti-codon, which is responsible for specific mRNA codon recognition, and the 3' end, to which the tRNAs corresponding amino acid is attached (by aminoacyl-tRNA synthetases). tRNAs cope with the degeneracy of the genetic code in two manners: having more than one tRNA (with a specific anti-codon) for a particular amino acid; and 'wobble' base-pairing, i.e. permitting non-standard base-pairing at the 3rd anti-codon position. The record is from RNAcentral. Lineage: Bacteria; candidate division WWE3. RNAcentral also lists the same sequence under 8 other names.
GGGCGAGUGGUGGAAUGGUAUACACGGCGGACUUAAAAUCCGCUGGCCGCAAGGCUAUAAGGGUUCGACUCCCUUCUCGCCCACCA